GGUUAAGCGACUAAGCGUACACGGUGGAUGCCCUGGCAGUCAGAGGCGAUGAAGGRCGUGCUAAUCUGCGAUAAGCGCCGGUAAGGUGAUAUGAACCGUUAUAACCGGCGAUUUCCGAAUGGGGAAACCCAGUGUGAUUCGUCACACUAUCAUUAACUGAAUCCAUAGGUUAAUGAGGCGAACCGGGGGAACUGAAACAUCUAAGUACCCCGAGGAAAAGAAAUCAACCGAGAUUCCCCCAGUAGCGGCGAGCGAACGGGGAGGAGCCCAGAGCCUGAAUCAGCAUGUGUGUUAGUGGAAGCGUCUGGAAAGGCGCGCGAUACAGGGUGACAGCCCCGUACACAAAAGCGCAUGUGCUGUGAG
Molecule: ribosomal RNA, 363 nt
Filed under: Salmonella enterica
Lineage: Bacteria; Pseudomonadati; Pseudomonadota; Gammaproteobacteria; Enterobacterales; Enterobacteriaceae
Description: partial 23S ribosomal RNA
Source: RNAcentral